GAUCCUGGGCUCAGGACGAACGCUGGCGGCGUGCUUAACACAUGCAAGUCGAACGGAGCACCCUUGACUGAGGUUUCGGCCAAAUGAUAGGAAUGCUUAGUGGCGGACUGGUGAGUAACGCGUGAGGAACCUACCUUCCAGAGGGGGACAACAGUUGGAAACGACUGCUAAUACCGCAUGACGCAUGACCGGGGCAUCCCGGGCAUGUCAAAGAUUUUAUCGCUGGAAGAUGGCCUCGCGU
This 241-nucleotide ribosomal RNA is filed under the name uncultured bacterium. RNAcentral describes it as "partial 16S ribosomal RNA". It matches the Rfam family "Bacterial small subunit ribosomal RNA", at positions 15 to 236 of the family's 1533-position model. The record is from RNAcentral.